AGUGAACGCUGGCGGUAGGCCUAACACAAGCAAGUCGAACGGCAGCACAGUAAGAGCUUGCUCUUACGGGUGGCGAGUGGCGGACGGGUGAGGAAUACAUCGGAAUCUACUUUUUCGUGGGGGAUAACGUAGGGAAACUUACGCUAAUACCGCAUACGACCUACGGGUGAAAGCAGGGGAUCUUCGGACCUUGCGCGAUUGAAUGAGCCGAUGUCGGAUUAGCUAGUUGGCGGGGUAAAGGCCCACCAAGGCGACGAUCCGUAGCUGGUCUGAGAGGAUGAUCAGCCACACUGGAACUGAGACACGGUCCAGACUCCUACGGGAGGCAGCAGUGGGGAAUAUUGGGCAAUGGGCGCAAGCCUGAUCCAGCCAUACCGCGUGGGUGAAGAAGGCCUUCGGGUUGUAAAGCCCUUUUGUUGGGAAAGAAAAGCAGCAGGUUAAUACCCCGCUGUUCUGACGGUACCCAAAGAAUAAGCACCGGCUAACUUCGUG
RNAcentral lists this ribosomal RNA (492 nucleotides) under uncultured bacterium. RNAcentral's name for it is "partial 16S ribosomal RNA". It matches the Rfam family "Bacterial small subunit ribosomal RNA", at positions 29 to 507 of the family's 1533-position model. The record is from RNAcentral.